CUGAAACUGUCCAGAUAUGUUUUGGAAUAUGUGCGGGGCUCUGAGAGGUGCUGCUGUGAGCUGAGGAACAGUCCACUACUUCUCAAGAUUGUGAAAGAGCUACACUGUACUAAUUCUAUGAUAUUACUCCCAAGUAUGGUUGAUAUAGCUGAACUUCUAUAAAUGCUAUAGUCAUGAGGCAUGUCAGGAAAAAUCCCAGCCAGUGUUGGGCUAAAUGUGAUCCAUCUACCUUUGCAGCCCUCCUUCCAUUCCCUUACAACCACGCAUGUUUUGCAGUGCUGCAGCUGAAGAUAAUCAGUUCUAAGAUGACAGAGGAAAGCAACAACUUUCAAGCUAAAAAAAUGAAGUUAUCUCAUAUUCUGACUCCGGUUAAGAGAGUACUUUAGCUUCCAUUUCAAGGUGAAGAAAGGCUGUAUUAACCUGAAUAUUAUCUGUAAGAUAUGUAAUAAAGUG
RNAcentral lists this long non-coding RNA (453 nucleotides) under Gallus gallus (chicken). Lineage: Eukaryota; Metazoa; Chordata; Aves; Galliformes; Phasianidae. The record is from RNAcentral.